CAAUAAAAGUAUAGAACACAUUCCAUUAAACUUCACAUAUGCGAUAUAUAUAAGAUGCAUGAGUAUCAUGUAUAAACACUAAUAAGUAGUAAUAAUACAGAAACUGGCUAGAAUUUUAGUGAACAAUGGUGAAAGUUCAUGAUUUGGUAUUUUCAGGAAAUUUUGGUUUAGAAACCUCUGGCAUUUCAUGGUUGGGCAUAUCUGACAAUUUUGGUUUGGGUAGUUCUUCAUGAUUUGGAAUUUCAGGUAAUUUUGGUUUGGGCAACUCUGGCAUCUCAUGUUUCGGCAUUUCAGAUGAUGUUGGUUUGGGCAAAUCUGGCAUCUCGUGUUUCGGCAUUUCAGGUGAUGUUGGUUUGGGCAACUCUGGCAUCUCGUGUUUCGACAUUUCAGGUGAUUUUGGUUUGGGCAACUCUGGCAACUCGUGUUUCGGCAUUUCAGGUGAUGUUGGUUUGGGCAAUUCUGGCAUCUCGUGUUUCGGCAUUUCAGGUGAUUCUGGUUUGGGCAACUCUGGCAUCUCGUGUUUUGCCAUCGGUGUAACCUCAUCAGGCGUCUUUUUCUCUUGCAAAAAACGACCAUCUACACGCGAUACGCCAUUGUAGCAAUUGAGAAGCAGCAUCAGCAUCAGCAUCACCGACUUGGAACACAUGAUCAGUGAUGAUAUAUGGAUGCAAAACAAUGUUUUGUAGGAGGACGUGAUGAUUUUGAAUGUGUAACAUUAAUUCAUGAUGGUAUUUAUAGAGGCUUGUAGUUAUGUGAAGUUGGUUGUCCAAACAAGAAACAUUGCAACUACCAAAUCAUUGGUAGUUGGCCUAUAUUUGACAUUAAAAUGUUUUAUGUUGAGAAAAUUUUGCCUUUUAUGGACUUCUUUUUACAUAUAAAAGAAAAUCAAUUUGUGUUUUAACCUAAAAUAAAGUAUUUGAUCUAACAUAAAGCUUUGAUGAUACCUGGUAAUACAAAAUUCCACGCUUGAUCACAUCAAUAGUAUUCGAAAACUCGUAUAUAUAAACAUAUUGAGAAUACAACGACUCUUAUAGGUUGUGGGGGACUCCAAGUCGACUUUAUGACAGGUCGAACUCAGAAAGUCGAACUGGAGUCAGGGUUGGGUUUGCAGGGUAUGUAGUUAGGCAGUUACUUCUCUAAUGAUCAUAUUACCUCCAUAAGAAAUCUUAUAAAUAAAUGGUCACUUUUAGUCAUUAGGGGAUAGUUGAUUUCUUGGAGGGAACUUUGAGAUAUCACUAAGAGAAGAAGAAUAAAGAUUGUCGAGUCCGAGCGUGUUUUCUAAUGAAGUUUUCGUCCUGACGUUUGUUCAAAAUGGUUCGCGAGCGCUGAUCGAGUUCCACCCUCAUCAAUACCAUGUUUGCCAGACUGGGCCUAUUUAGAGGUUCGGUUCACAACUUAUUGAUAUGUCUAUCGGCAUGUUGUUCGACUCGUUCGAUCUUGUAUAAAUAGUAUCUCGAUUAAUUGAUACUUCAGAAUUCUUACCAGUCGGAUGGACCGGUGACCCUCAGACAUCCUUAAGUGGGUUGAUGCUUCAAAAGCUUGAAAAAGAUCGAUCAUUAGACAUUGGACUUAAUUAAGCCAAACCAAAAGUAGAUGCCCCACCGAUAAUUAUGGACCAAAAGGAGACAUGGUCGAACCAACUUAGGGGAAUCGAUUGGAAUUAAGGUCGACUCUUUUUUGGUCUGUCUCCCAUAUGAUCGAUCGUUUUCCGGACCGAUUGUCCUUGACAUGGUGAAAUGAUCAAUUUAUCUUCUUAAAAACUAUAAAUAAAAGAAGAGAUUUAUCAUUUGGAUACAACUUGCACAACUGAUCGACUACUUUCUGAGCAAAAAGUGGAGUACGUACGGUUGAAAAUCCAGAGCCAUCGGUUCAUCCGACUUAUAAAACACCUAAAAAAAAUAGUCGACCGAUCGACUAAAAAGGACGACUGGGCGGAUGAUACCGUCGUCGUUUCACGGAAUCCCUCGACGUCCCUCGAUAGUAUGUCGAAGAUUUCAACUGUGCGAUUUGCAUAUACGGAAAAUUAAACAAAAUCUAAAAUGAGAUGCAACACGAGGACAUACCAGGAGAAUCACCGAUUCAUCCAAUUGGUAAGACACCUGUAAAAAAUAGUUGACCAAUCAACUAGACAUGAGUCAACUAAUUCAUAAACUAUCCUCAUCAAAUCUAUAUAAAGUGUAACACUUGAGAGUAGGGUGUCAAACGAGUCAAGCCAAGCCAAACCGAGCUUUUGCUUAUAGAAUCGGAAUCGGGCUCGGCUCGUUAAAGAAUUAUCCAGGAUCGGACUCAGACUUAGCUCGUUAAGGAAUUUUCCAAGCUCGGUCUCAGCUCGUUAAAGAAUUUUUCAAGCUCAGACUCGAAGCUCGCGAGCUCAGUUUCGGCUCGAGCUCAAUAAGCUUGUCGAAAAAUAUCUAUAUCAAUAUAUUUUAUUUUAGAUUUAGGUUUAGGUUUAGGUUUUUAUUUAAGUUUUUUAGUAAUUUAUUCAAUAGUCCUUGUAAUUAAAUUAAUAUUAGUAAUUAAAUUAAAUUAACUUGUCUAUUCAAUUUAGUAAUUAAAUUUACAAAUCAUGAAAUUUUGACCAAACCAUUGAUAUUUUACAACAAGUAAAAAAAAACAAUAAAAGUAUAGAACACAUUCGAUUAAACUUCACAUAUGCGAUAUAUAUAAGAUGCAUGAGUAUCAUGUAUAAACACUUAUUAGUGUUUAUACAAUGGCUAGAAUUUUAGUGAACAAUGGUGGAAGUUCAUGAUUUGGUAUUUUCAGGAAAUUUUGAUUUAGAAACCUCUGGCAUUUCAUGGUUGGGCAUAUCUGACAAUUUUGGUUUGGGUAGUUCUUCAUGAUUUGGAAUUUCAGGUAAUUUUGGUUUGGGCAACUCUGGCAUCUCAUGUUUCGGCAUUUCAGAUGAUGUUGGUUUGGGCAAAUCUGGCAUCUCGUGUUUCGGCAUUUCAGGUGAUAUUGGUUUGGGCAACUCUGGCAUCUCGUGUUUCGACAUUUCAGGUGAUGUUGGUUUGGGCAAAUCUGGCAUCUCGUGUUUCGGCAUUUCAGGUGAUGUUGGUUUGGGCAACUCUGGCAUCUCGUGUUUCGGCAUUUCAGGUGAUGUUGGUUUGGGCAACUCUGGCAUCUCGUGUUUCGGCAUUUCAGGUGAUGUUGGUUUGGGCAAC
Molecule: long non-coding RNA, 3161 nt
Filed under: Zostera marina
Lineage: Eukaryota; Viridiplantae; Streptophyta; Magnoliopsida; Alismatales; Zosteraceae
Description: long non-coding RNA (ZMAR_LNC003227)
Source: RNAcentral